Molecule: long non-coding RNA, 6860 nt
Filed under: Brassica napus (rape)
Lineage: Eukaryota; Viridiplantae; Streptophyta; Magnoliopsida; Brassicales; Brassicaceae
Description: long non-coding RNA (BNAP_LNC025146)
Source: RNAcentral
GGUGGCGGAGACGGAGUUUGAAGAGUAGACGGAGAAAUUGACGCCGUCGUCUCUCACGGUGGCGCCGAACGGGGAAGUGAGUCCGUCGGAGACGAGGAAUCUCUUCGAUAGAGGAGGUUUCUCCACUACGGCGACGUUUUCGGGUUCGGUGGUUCUUGUGUCCUUGGCGGAGAUGGACAGUGGCUGCGCGGCUCGACGGUUGAAAUUGGGGGCGGGGAAUUUAGGGAAUGUGUGGUUAGAGAAGAGAGUGUUGGGAUUGGUGAGGGGGAGGAAGGUGGAGCUGCAUUUGAUUGCAUCCAUGGAUGCUCUUCUUCUUCUUCUUCUUCUUCUUCUUCUUCGAGCUUUGUGUGAAAGAGAGAGGAGGAAGUGUUGAUUACACUCAAAGAGUGACCGAUCAUCAUUUGAUCUUAUUUUCGAUAAAAUCAAAUAAAUGAAAAAGAGAGAGAGAGAGAGAGAGAGAGAUAAAUGGGCUUAAAAUGGGCUUAGAGACGGGCCUGUUUGCAUAUAUCAAAUGAUCAUCAGUAUUAUUAGAGACGAGAGCAUAUAUCAAAAUAGGUCAAAUUAGCAUCAGUUUCUUCAAGUUGUGAUGUUAUCAUCACUCAAAGAAGACUGGUGAUCAUUUGAUCUAUUUUCGACAGAAACUAAUAAAUAUAUGAAAAUGUUAAAAUAAAAGAAUAUAAAUGGCUUACAAAAUGGGUUUAGAGCUCUUCACGAACUAUCUAACAAUACUAAAAGAAAAAUAUGCUCAGAGGAGAGAGUGUCCAUGUCACUUAACUAAAUCAACCAAUUAAAAAUCACUAACAUUUCAAGUCACUUUUCUGCAACUGAAUAAAUCGGGCUAUGGUAAUAUCCACUUGCUUUCUAUUUUGUUUUUGUCCAGCCUACUAAGAAGCCCACGUUAGAAACCCAAAAAUUUAUUACUCAUUUCAUUCUCUGUGCCGACUUAUCGGAUUCACUUUUGUUUUUCUCAUCUGAAAAAGGAUGUUAUUCACAACUCAAUUCUUCAACUGUUUAUCUUCCUUCACCUCUCUUUCUCCAUAUCUCAUUAAAUCUCUUCUUCGUCGCAACAGACGUGAUCCUUGGAACCGUCGCAAUUCCCUUCCCCUUUCACCCUAUAGAAUCACAUCAAGCAAUGGCUUCCGAAAUGCAAAAUCCACCUAGAGAAAUAAUUCUACAGUCUCAUUAACCAAAGAAAUCAACCGAGUUGUGGAUCACUCUCGAACCAUUUGUUUCAUUCACAUCUCUGAUCUCCCCGAGUUGGAAGACACCCGUUUGGGCUCAAAGGCGAUCUCUAUUCGGUUCUGAUUUCCUCUUAUCGAUUCUCUGAGUUUAGGGUUCUAAACGAUUCAUUUGAUUAUGGUUGAAACUUGGGGAAAUGAGUUUGUCUGAUGCAAUUUUCUUUUUCUGCAGUUAAUAAACCACAAAACAUAUGUUAAAUCAAGGUUAAAAUAUGGUUGGAACAGAUGGAGGCAGCAAACUACCCUGGGAAGAACCAACAACCAAUGUAGUUUUUUUCAGAUUACAUCUCAUCUGAGAAAUGAGAAUAUCACAUAUGUUGAUGAUCAUUUUCAUGAUAUCUCCAAGUAAGCUAAAUACACAUGAACCAAAAAAAACUACAACAUUUGUGUAGACGAUUGUAGCAUCUGACUGUAAUUGCAGGGACUGGCUAUACUCUGAAGUUUCAACUGUAUACAGGUAUGUGAUAUAAUUAAUUAGAGAUUUGCUUUCAUCAUCUUCAGUUAAUGUUAUUAAUUUUUUGUGUCUCUUGCUACCCCGUCGAACAACUUUUGUAUACUGUACUGUAGUAUUGAUUUUUAAUUUUUAUAACCCUCAAUAUAUGCUUACAGUAUUACCUUAUGACAUGUGUGGUAUUCUAGGUUACAUACUACAAGAUAUGAUAAGAGGAAGAACAGUUCGAUGCAACAGUUUAAGAUGGCAUUGUCAUAUGAUCCAUUGCGCUGGGAAUCAUAUGGAGGAAUUUGUAGUUUAGGUAAGUGAAAGCUUUGUAUGAGUUUUUUGUUUUGUUUAUCAGUUUAUGUUUUCUGGUUGUUACAACUGGAAAUCUGAGAGCAGAUUUAUAUAUUUUCUUCAACAUUCUUCCAUUACCUUAUCAGGUGUCUUUGAAGAAUCCUUCCACAGUUCUCUGCAAUGUAGCUUCCCAGCUUCUCAGAAAACAUUGAUUUCACAAAGAAUAAACUUCUCAGAAGGAGAAACCAUGGACCAGCUUUGAUUGGCAAACAGAACAUGUUCCAGGAGAGUAACAACAUGAUCUGAUAUUAAAGCAGCUUAGAGCAGAGAUUCCGCCAGAUACUGACAAGCAACGUGACCGUAUUUCUCAUACACAUGUGAAAUAUCUUAAAGUUAAACUAGAAUGAGAGCGUAUUAGGUAAUGUUACUUUUUCAAAAAUUCUCAGUUAUCAUAAUGUUGUACGAGUACGACUAUUAUAUUUUCUUCAUGAUAUAAUGAUAAAGUUCCUUACAUGUUUCCUUAUCUCUAAGUAUAUAUCGUUUAGGUAUUGGAUGCUCCACUGCCUAAGCUCUAUAAGAAUAUGUGCCAUCCAAAAUGAGAGGGAUUGAUGUCCGUACAUGGAGUCUUAAAAAUAUUUGUAAGUAAAAGAAGAGUCAUUAUAGAUGGUAUAUAUGCAUUAAGCUCUUACUGCUUUCUUCCAUGUUCUCUCUGAUGUGCGGACAAUGAUAAUCUAGCUGCGCAUUGUGCAUAUUUUGAUAUAGAGGUUCUGCACCUGAUUUCCUCUUCCAGCUCUAUGGCUGAAUUUAUUUGUUCUUUUAUUUCAGUGACAAUCUAAUGCUACUUGAUUUAUUUGUCGUCUUUUAAUUUCACAUCUUCUAUCUUUAAAGCCCCAGAAGAAUCUGAGCAUCACAGGAGUGGUUAAAUAGCAACAAGGAGAAAGAUUCAUAUAUAUCAGUCAGCUGGAUUGCUCUCAUCUCCGGGUAUGCAAAACUUAUGUUUUUCAGCUAGAGAAUUAUACUCGGUCAUGUUUCUUCAAGAUGUUUACUUCAGAUGCAGUAUCACCAUAACUAUGACCUAAAGAAAGCUGUUAAAUUUUAUGUAGUCAUGAUAAGUAGAAAAAUUUAUGUUAUCAGAGAGCUAAGGUUGUUUAGUUGUGAAGUGAAGUUGCAUUGUAUUAUUUAAAUCUAGAGGCUCUCACCUUAUUACCACCUCUAUUAGUUUCAGGUACCAUGCACCAUCAGAAGCUGGUGCGGAUAUUCUUUUGGAUUCUUUGUCAAUGGGAGGGCUUACUGCUGCGCAAAACAGCUUACUGGAUGGAGACUUACUAUUUAUUCACGAGAAUAAUGCUUCAAUAGCCACCAUCGAAUCAUUUUCAUCAACUUCUCCCUUUGCUUCUACUUCAAUGAUGGAUUUAUAGGACGUAUUUUCUCCCUCACCUCAAAAAGGUAAAUUUAAACAUUGAGAAGUUACUUUCACAUAAUCCCCUAAUUUAUAUAUGUUACUUUUUUUGUGUGCACAAACUUCAUUACUAAGAUUAAAUGGUUUUAAUCUUUCAGCUAGCACAUCGUGGUUUGUAUUGAUGUUGCCAUUUCUCGUAUAUAUGUUACUUAAAUGUGAUGGUGACAUUACUUUUCUUGGAUGACAGGGGACAAGGGUCCAACAUUUCCAUCCCUUUUUGCAUUGGAGAGCAGUACUUAACAAAUAUAAUGUGCCAUUUGAAUUGUGAGGUACCAUUACAAGCUUAAUAUAUAUGAGUGUUAUUCCGUGAAAUAACUCGAAUUUCAAAUCAUUCACUUGCUUUCACAGAUAUUACUCUAGAUGUGUCCGCUUUCUUUUACAUGCUGCAGUUCCAAAAGUCAGGUCCCAAAUUUGUUUUUAUGCUUAAUGUUAUAAUUCUUACGCUUCAUAGUUAAUUCCACACAAUCUUUCCUAUUCAAAAAGCCGCCAUAGAGUUUGGUUCUUAGCUAAAACGGUCCAAGCUUUUAUAGCAUGAUAAACUAUUGUUUUAGCAAAUUUUUUACUUCAUAAAUUAUAACACUAACUAUUCUGGACACUACAAGAAAAAUGGGCUUUGAUAGCAGUGAAGGAUAACAUUUUUUGCCUUUCUGCUAUGGUUGACAUACCCGUUAGUUUUAGAUAGCGUUUGUAUAUUUAGAAACGCUAUGAUAGAGCAGUAUAUUUAAAAACGCUAUGAUAGCGUAUUUUUAAUAGCGUAUUUUUAAUAGCGCAUUAUUAAAAACGCUAUCUUUGACUUUUUAAAUCUCUAAACCCAAAACAAGUUUUAAACCCUAAACUUUAAACAUAACGUCAAAAUCUAACUAUUUUAUAUCAAAUCUUAAAUUUAACCUUAAAUAUUAAAUAUAAACUCAAAAACUAUUUUUUUUUCAAUAAUUAAUCUUAAAUCCCAAUGCCCUAAACUUUUAACCCUCAAACCCUAUACUCAAACCUUUAUUCUAAACUCAUAACUUUAAAUCUAAAAUCUAAAUUCAAAAAAAAAAAUCAAACUUAAACUUAAUUCUUCAAAUUAAUUCAAAUUUAUUUUCGAAUUUUAACUUAAAUUCUUAACCUUGAACUCUAAACCUUAUAUACUCAAAUCUUAUAUAUCAUAAUAAACCUCAAACCUUCAAUUUACACAUUUAGUUAUUAAACUAAAUCAUAAAUCACAAAUCUAAUAUUCUCAAAGUUAAACACCAAACUUUGAGCAUACAUUUUUAAAAUUUAAUAUGUUUAAAUUUUAAACCUUUAAACUAAUUUUAUUUACUAUACUCUUGUAUUUUAAACCUUUAAACUAAUUUCAUUUUACAUUUAAAGUAAAUCAUAACUUAUAAAUAAUUUUAAAAUUUUGAGUCUAUUAUUUGAAACAUUGAACCAAACUAUAAUUACAUUAAUUAUAUUUUUUUUGGUCAAAAUUAUAUAAAUAUUUAACUUAAUUAUUAUAUGUUUGGUUUAUCUUUUUCCUUUUUCUCAUUGGUCAAUAUCUUAAACACAAGGAUAUCAAUCUUGACCACUGAGUAUUUUUGAUCCUAUGACUUGAAAUCACACAUCUCAUAUCUCAAUCUCUUUCUUCCUUCCUUUCUUCUUUCCUUGUCUCACGUUAUCUUUUUUUUUUUUGUUACAGAUCUAAAUCUGAUCUCAUCUAAAUCUUUUUUAAUUCUUUGGAUCUCUAUCUUCCUCAAUCACCACCACCACACGACGACCCGUUUGUUUUCGCCGUCCCAGCAUCACAACCACCACCACACGACCGUUCGUUCGCCGUCCCAGCAUCACCACCACCACACAACCACGGUUAGAACUCAUCUCUCUCUCUCUCUCUCUCUCUCUGUUUUGAACUUUUUUUAGGGAUAGAGGAAGCAAGGCAAGGCAGGUAUAGUUCUGCAACACCCUGGUACGUGCCAGGGAACUCAAUGUUACUAGACUCAUGCCUUGUGAAACCUCGCACAUGCAUUUCAUAUAUGACAAGAUCCUUCUGUGAAAGCUUCAGAGGCAUAUCCCCCUCCCAAUCAAACUGAAUACCAAAACAAGGCCAAUAACACCACAUGUUAAAUUUUACUAAACAAGUAACUGACCUCACAAUAAAGAAAGAAUAUCUUGUAUCAAAGUAUUAAACUGAUUAAUAAUAGUUUUGAUCUCUAGAAACACUAUUAAGGAAGAAUAAUCUUUAUAUGCAUUUAGAAGUACCUCUUCAUCGUCGAGAGUGGGCACCAUACACGCCAUUUGAGGCCAACAAUUAUCAUCAGCUCCCAAAACUCCAAACUCAUCCCUACUAAUAAUUGCCUUAACAAACCAAAAGGAGGAAAAAGUUAGAGCCAAUUCAAGCCAAGAGAUGGAUCUUCAACACUUCAGGACCGGUUCUAGGCAAAGCCGGAUGAAACAUUCAACAUUCGCCUCUGGCCCCCAAAUUUUUUGAAAAAAAAAUUGGGCAUGAUUAACCCCGGUCUCUUAGCUGGGUUCUUAACUCAUGAUUUGACAUUUUCUUAUUUUUUUUUUGUUUUACACUUUUCGACUAAGAGACGGCUCUUAUAUCUUUUAUUUAAGAGAGCGUUCUUACUUUUUCUUAGUUAAAAUCUAAGAAAAGUUAAGAACGGUCUCUUAGCCGAAACUAAGAACCAAGUUAAGAAACAUAACCUUAUAUAUAGGCCUCUAAAUUUAUUUAAAAAAAUAAUAAUAUUGAAAUCUUUACUAAAUAGUCUUCAGCCUCCAAAAUCUCAGGGCCGGCCGCACUUGAAUUUUCCAGUUACCUUAGCGUAAGGAUCCAAUAAGAUAUUGGAGGAGUCAUAGUAAUGCCCUUCUUCAGGAGAAAACUUCCCAUCGAAUCUAUAACCAUACAACAUAUCCUCGAAACUCCCUUUCAAGAACACGUGCCACACGUGGCCCGUUCUAUUCCUCGACGGAUCGAGCUCAAUCUCCUCCGUCACUUUGUUCUGCAAUCAAAAAUCAAAUUUCGAUUUACAUCGAAUUACACUCUCGAGCGUGUGGAAAAUGGCUGACCUGACGGAGAUCGGAGAGGGAGAUCAAGCAGAUGGUUGCGGAGACGGAGUUUGAAGAGUAAACGGAGAAAUUGACGCCGUUGUCUCUCACGGUGGCGCCGAACGGGGAAGGGAGUCCGUCGGAGACGAGGAAUCGCUUUGAGAGAGGAGGUUUCUCCACUACGGCGACGUUUUCGGGUUCGCUGGUUCUUGCUGUGUCCUUGGCGGAGAGGGAGAGUGGCUGAGCGGCUCGACGGUUGAAAUUGGGGGCGGGGGAUUUAGGGAACGCGUGGUUAGAGAAGAGAGUGUUGAGAUUGGUGAGGGGGAGGAAGGUGGAGCUACUGCAUUUGAGUGCAUCCAUGGAUGCUCUUCUUCUUCUUCUUCGAGGUUGUGUGUGAAAGAGAGAGGAGGAAGUGUUGAUUACA